GUGAGGAAUUUUGCGCAAUGGGGGAAACCCUGACGCAGCAACGCCGCGUGAGUGAUGAAGGCCUUCGGGUCGUAAAGCUCUGUCAAGUGGGAAGAAACUGAUUAAUGAUAAUACAAUUAAUUACUGACGGUACCACUGAAGGAAGCACCGGCUAACUCCGUGCCAGCAGCCGCGGUAAUACGGAGGGUGCAAGCGUUAUUCGGAAUCAUUGGGCGUAAAGGGCGCGCAGGCGGUUUUUUAAGUCAGAUGUGAAAGCCCGGGGCUUAACCCCGGAAGUGCAUUUGAAACUGAAAAACUUGAGUAUGGGAGAGGGAAGUGGAAUUCCUGGUGUAGAGGUGAAAUUCGUAGAUAUCAGGAGGAACACCGGUGGCGAAGGCGACUUCCUGGACCAAUACUGACGCUGAGGCGCGAAGGCGUGGGUAGCAAACAGGAUUAGAUACCCGUGUAGUCC
RNAcentral lists this ribosomal RNA (451 nucleotides) under uncultured bacterium. Its description in RNAcentral is "bacterial SSU rRNA". It matches the Rfam family "Bacterial small subunit ribosomal RNA", at positions 354 to 796 of the family's 1533-position model. The record is from RNAcentral.